CUGAAUCCAAUCGCGAAAAAAGACCCAAAGACAACCAGACUUGAGAGAGCAACUUAAGAACUUGAGAGUGAAAACUUGACAAAGACGUGAUGACUGUUCAACAUUUUUAAAUUAGUAUUAUUAACAGUGUAUUUCAUUAUAAAACUGUCAAGUAAGAUCAGAAGGAUGGUUGGUUUGGCAAGCUAGCUAACCGGCUAGCAUAUGUUUUUUUAGCGGAGAAGCCCUAAGCAAGAGGACAGCAGAGAUGUGGACAAAUGCUCGGGAAGACUACAGGCUGCUUUAGAAUACCACUGAGGUGCGGUGAGCCUUCCGGCAGCCCCAUCGGCUGAUGGGGCAUCACCAGGUGGGUGCUGCGUGAUCAGUGGUGGUCAAGGAGUAGCUUUCUAGCUACAGAGACCAGACUGCUCUGUUUAACGGCUCUGGACCACAGUCAUAUUGCUCCAAGACCAGACUGACCCUGAUUGAGGCUCCCGAGGCUUACCCCUGGCUAUGAUCGUGAUGCUCUCUCCCAAGAACAUUUAGCAUUUGAUUUGUUUAUUUAAUUAUUUGUUUAUUUUUUGGGGCAUGGACUGUACACCGCAAUACAGUUUUUAGCUGCCAAUGUUGUACACCAUGACAAACUAAACUCUGAAUACAGGGUGAUUAGUUAAAACAGGACACCACUUGGUCCCUGUCCUCCAAAUGGGAGGGUGGAUGACACAGUGGCAGUGGAUAUCCUACACAAGGUGAUAGGUGUCCUUUACCAAGGUCUUCCCCAACCAUUAUAUACAAUGUAUAGGCCUUCAUGUCAAGGUUUAUUACUAUAUAAACUGUGUCAACACUGGACAGUUGGUUUGAAUCUUUGUGUUAUUAUACACUUGGACUCUGUGUUCCACAGGGAUGCUGGCCCAUGUUGACUCCAAUGCUUCUCGCAGCUGGCUGGAUGUCCUUUGGAACAGCGUUGCAUUUCUUGACACACUCAAACCACUUUAAAAAGUUAAAAAGUUGUAAGCUUGCACCGCGCGACUGAGAGGUACCCAGCAUCACGGCUUCAUUGCUUCAGACCACCACAAGGGGGAGUUCGAGCACUCAUUAUGGAUUUGGGUCCUAAGGUUUUUGGGACCCAAAAAUGACCAAUCAUAUCGAGUGGUUCCAAUGACAAAUUUGACACGAUCCAUCCGUCCCUGGUGACUUUCUUCAGCAAAGAUGGCUGAAAAUAUUAAGGUGGAAUAAAAUUUGAUUUGAUAUCAAAUGCAAGUAAUUAUAACGUCAUAAUGAGUCAAGCAAAACAUGUACAAUUGAGAAGAAUAUGUUAGUUAAUGUAGACAAAAGAUUGUGCAUAUUGUUUUGUCAUAAAGUUAAUUUACGGAAAUCGCUAUUUAGCCGACUAGCUAACAUUAGCCAGCUAGCUAGCUAGUGUUAUGACAGGAGAAUUGUAUAAUUUGUGUUGUUUAAUGUUUUAGGGACUCCUGAGAAAACCAGAAAACCAGGCUGUUGUCAUGUGAAACAGUGGAUGUAAAGAAUCUAGCUAGCGAAAGCAUUUACUGCAAAUUGAAUGUACAAUUGUGUAAGCUUGCCUUGCAAUGCAGCUGAAGUACCAUAUGUAGCUAACUGUUUACUUGCUUAUUGUGUAGUGGAGGAUGAAAAUAACUGUAUGCCUAUGGAUGUGUAGCUAGCUACAGUAUGUAGCCGAUCUGUAUGCCUAUGGAUGUGUAGCUAGCUACAGUAUGUAGCCGAUCUGUGUGUCUAUGGAUGUGUAGCUAACUACAGUAUGUAGCCGAUCUGUGUGCCUAUGGAUCUGUAGCUUGCUACAGUAAGUAGCCAAUCUGUGUAUGGACCCUCAAACUUUUGCUAUGAAUAUUAGUUCAGAACCUAUGAACCUCAGCUAUCAUAGUUGUAUCAACUUCAAGUCUGAAUGGCAUUAAUGAAGCCUAUGGAUUGAGUAGAAUAUAAUAACUUUAUUGUGCCAAGGAUGCAAGUCCUAUAUACAUGUACUGUAGUUAUUACCACGCAUUAGAUCCCCACAUUGUAGCCUGUACAUUGAAUAUAUUCACUGAUCAUGUAACUCUUCCUUGGCAAAUAAAGGUGCGGUUCAGGUAUAAA
Oncorhynchus masou masou (cherry salmon) is the source of this 2082-nucleotide long non-coding RNA. RefSeq lists it as uncharacterized. The transcript has 2 exons. The record is from RefSeq and is a predicted model, not a curated record. Lineage: Eukaryota; Metazoa; Chordata; Actinopteri; Salmoniformes; Salmonidae.